UAUUAUGUCUGCAAAACUACUAAUGUCAAGUGUAUUUGUGAAAAUUUGUGAAUAUUUUUUAAUAUGUUCUAUAUGUCUCAGCUAUUCAUUGGUGGCUUGGCAUAACUGACGAAGACGCAGAAGGGGUCUGGAGAUGGUUUGACGAUGACACUGUGGCUGAAUAUACAGACUUUGAGUCGAAUGACCAUUCCCAUCCAGGAGAAGACUGUGGGUUGUUUGCAUCAAUCUAUGAGUUCAGAUGGGCUGACAUUGAAUGUACGGCUCACUACCCACCUCUUUGCGAACUUAGUGCACGCAACACUGAGGUCGAGACUGUUGGCUAAUAUCGAUGAGAUGACAUCUUGACACUUUCUUACUUCUUUUGUGUACAAGGACGAAUAUGUGUAAUUAAUGUACGUUUGAAAAUCAAUAUAAGACAUAACGUUUUUGGUUA
Long non-coding RNA from Dreissena polymorpha, 433 nucleotides. RefSeq lists it as uncharacterized. The transcript is spliced from 3 exons. Lineage: Eukaryota; Metazoa; Mollusca; Bivalvia; Myida; Dreissenidae. The record is from RefSeq and is a predicted model, not a curated record.